GACGGAGGGUGCAAGCGUUGUUCGGAAUUACUGGGCGUAAAGGGCGCGUAGGCGGUCUGUUAAGUUCGGUGUGAAAGCCCCCGGCUCACCUGGGGAACUGCGCCGGAAACCGACAGACUCGAGUACCGGAGAGGAGGGUGGAAUUCCUGGUGUAGCGGUGAAAUGCGCAGAUAUCAGGAGGAACACCGGUGGCGAAGGCGGGUCUCUGGGCCGAUACUGACGCUGAGGAGCGAAAGCGUGGGGAGCGAACAGG
This 253-nucleotide ribosomal RNA is filed under the name uncultured bacterium. RNAcentral's name for it is "partial 16S ribosomal RNA". It matches the Rfam family "Bacterial small subunit ribosomal RNA", at positions 524 to 776 of the family's 1533-position model. The record is from RNAcentral.